AUGGCUCAGAAUGAACGUUGGCGGCGUGGAUUAGGCAUGCAAGUCGUACGCAUAGCUUCGGCUAUGAGUGGCGCAAGGGUGAGUAAUGCGAAGGUAACCAACCCUGGUGUUGGGCAUAGCCGCGGGAAACUGCGGGUAAUUCCCAGCGACGUCACGAGAUGGCAUCAUCUUGUGACCAAAGGUGUGAUUCCGCUCUAGGACGGGCCUUCGUGGUAUUAGGUAGUUGGUGAGGUAACGGCUCACCAAGCCGACGAUGCCUACCGGGUGUGAGAGCAUGACCCGGCACACUGGAACUGAGACACUGUCCAGACACCUACGGGUGGCUGCAGUCGAGAAUCUUCGGCAAUGGGCGAAAGCCUGACCGAGCGACGCCGCGUGAGGGAUUGAAGGCCUUCGGGUUGUAAACCUCUUUCGUAGAGGAGGAAGGGGCCGUGAAGAACGGUCUUUGACCUAUUCUAGGAAGAAGCUUGGGCUAAGUUCGUG
RNAcentral lists this ribosomal RNA (483 nucleotides) under uncultured bacterium. RNAcentral's name for it is "bacterial SSU rRNA". It matches the Rfam family "Bacterial small subunit ribosomal RNA", at positions 19 to 507 of the family's 1533-position model. The record is from RNAcentral.